Molecule: ribosomal RNA, 472 nt
Filed under: uncultured bacterium
Lineage: Bacteria
Description: SSU rRNA
Rfam family: Bacterial small subunit ribosomal RNA
Source: RNAcentral
AGGAUGAACGCUGGCGGCGUGCCUAACACAUGCAAGUCGAACGUCCUGUCUCGCAAGAGGCGGGGAGUGGCGGACGGGUGAGUACCACGUGGGUCAUCUACCGUGAGGUGAGGAAUACCGGCGAGAAAUCGCCGACAAGACCGCAUAGGCUCGAUGCAAGUCGAGCAAAGCUCUUUCGAGAGAGGGAGCGCCACACGAGGAGCCUGCGCCCGAUUAGCUAGCUGGUGGAGUAACGGUUCACCAGGGCGACGAUCGGUAGCUGGUCUGAGAGGACGAUCAGCCACACUGGGAUUGAGAACGGCCCAGACUCCUACGGGGGGCAGCAGUGAGGAAUUUUCGUCAAUGGGGGCAACCCUGAACGAGCAACGCCGCGUGCAGGAAGAAGGUUUCGGAUCGUAAACUGCUUUUCUCGGGGAAGAGAAUGGACGGUACCCGAGGAAUCAGCCCCGGCUAACUACGUGCCAGCAGCCGC